Molecule: ribosomal RNA, 252 nt
Filed under: uncultured bacterium
Lineage: Bacteria
Description: partial 16S ribosomal RNA
Rfam family: Bacterial small subunit ribosomal RNA
Source: RNAcentral
UACGUAGGGGGCAAGCGUUGUCCGGAAUUAUUGGGCGUAAAGCGCGCGCAGGCGGCUUUUUAAGUCUGGUGUUUAAGCCCGGGGCUCAACCCCGGUUCGCAUCGGAAACUGGGAAGCUUGAGUGUAGGAGAGGAAAGUGGAAUUCCACGUGUAGCGGUGAAAUGCGUAGAGAUGUGGAGGAACACCAGUGGCGAAGGCGACUUUCUGGCCUAUAACUGACGCUGAGGCGCGAAAGCGUGGGGAGCAAACGGG